This 2418-nucleotide ribosomal RNA is filed under the name human gut metagenome. RNAcentral's name for it is "bacterial LSU rRNA". It matches the Rfam family "Bacterial large subunit ribosomal RNA", at positions 496 to 2925 of the family's 2925-position model. The record is from RNAcentral.
UAGUACCGUGAGGGAAAGGUGAAAAGAACCCCGGGAGGGGAGUGAAAGAGAACCUGAAACCCUAUGCUUACAAGCAGACGCAGCACCACUUAAGGUGUGGCGUCGUACUUUUUGUAGAACGGGCCGGCGAGUUACGUUGCGUAGCGAGGUUAAGUGAUUAAGUCACGGAGCCGUAGCGAGAGCGAGUCUUAACUGGGCGAUAUAGUUGCGUGACGUAGACCCGAAACCGGAUGACCUAUCCAUGGACAGGUUGAAGCAGUGGUAAGACACUGUGGAGGACCGAACCCACGUUCGUUGAAAAGACCGGGGAUGAGCUGUGGAUAGCGGAGAAAUUCCAAUCGAAUCCGGAUAUAGCUGGUUCUCCUCGAAAUAGCUUUAGGGCUAGCCUCUCGUUAGAGUACUGAAGGUAGAGCACUGAAUGGGCUAGGGGGCUUCACAGCUUACUGAACCUUAUCAAACUUCGAAUGACAGAUACUUGAUGCGAGGGAGUCAGACAGCGUGAGAUAAGUUUCGUUGUCAAAAGGGAAACAGCCCAGAUCUACAACUAAGGUCCCUAAGUACAAGUUAAGUGGUAAAGGAUGUGCCAAUGCUAAAACAACCAGGAUGUUGGCUUAGAAGCAGCCACUCAUUUAAAGAGUGCGUAAUAGCUCACUGGUCGAGUGAGGGUGCGCCGAAGAUUACCGGGGCUAAAACUUGUCACCGAAGUUUAGGGAUGCAGUUUACUGCAUCGGUAGAGGAGCAAUGUAUGCGGGCAGAAGCGAUAUCGUAAGGGGUCGUGGACUGCAUACAAGAGAGAAUGCCGGCAUAAGUAGCGCGAGCAAAGUGAGAAUCUUUGCCGUCGAAUGCCUAAGGUUUCCUGGGGAAGGUUCGUCCUCCCAGGGUAAGUCGGGACCUAAGCCGAGGCCGAAAGGCGUAGGUGAUGGACAACAGGUAGAUAUUCCUGUACCGCCAAAUGACGCUUAAAUGAGGCAAUGACACAGUAGGAUAGUCAAUCCGCGGCGUUGGAUUGCUGCGGCCAAAUCAUGAGGCUGAUGUGUAGUGAAGUACGCACAUCGUCAGGCUGGGUGAUGAUGGGGAGUGAAAACUAGUAACGAAGUUGAUGAAUUCACACUGGCGAGAAAAGUUGCUAAAUAUGUUGUUAGGCGCCCGUACCGCAAACCGACACAGGUGGGCGAGGAGAAAAUCCUAAGACGGACGGGAGAACCCUUGUUAAGGAACUCUGCAAAAUUACCCCGUAACUUCGGGAGAAGGGGAGCCUGCUUUGCAGGUCGCAGUGAAGAGGCCCAAGCGACUGUUUACCAAAAACACAGGUCUCUGCUAAAUCGAAAGAUGAAGUAUAGGGGCUGACGCCUGCCCAGUGCUGGAAGGUUAAGGGGAUGUGUUAGCGCAAGCGAAGCACGGAACUUAAGCCCCAGUGAACGGCGGCCGUAACUAUAACGGUCCUAAGGUAGCGAAAUUCCUUGUCGGGUAAGUUCCGACCCGCACGAAUGGCGUAACGACUUGGGCGCUGUCUCAACAGGGGACCCGGCGAAAUUGUACUAUACGUGAAGAUGCGUAUUACCCGCGACUGGACGGAAAGACCCCGUAGAGCUUUACUGUAGCUUGAUAUUGGAAUUCGGUAAUUUAUGUACAGGAUAGGUGGGAGACUUGGAAACAUGGGCGUCAGCUCAUGCGGAGUCAACCUUGGGAUACCACCCUUGAAUUAUUGGGUUUCUAACACCAGACCGUAAUCCGGCUGGUGGACAGUGUCAGGUGGGCAGUUUGACUGGGGCGGUCGCCUCCCAAAAUGUAACGGAGGCGUUCUAAGGUUCCCUCAGGAUGGUUGGAAAUCAUCCAAAGAGCGUAAAGGUAGAAGGGAGCUUAACUGCGAGACAGACAUGUCGAGCAGAUACGAAAGUAGGACUUAGUGACCCGGCGGUUGAGUAUGGAAUUGCCGUCGAUUAACGGAUAAAAGUUACCUCGGGGAUAACAGGCUUAUCUCCCCCAAGAGUUCACAUCGACGGGGAGGUUUGGCACCUCGAUGUCGGCUCGUCACAUCCUGGGGCUGUAGUCGGUCCCAAGGGUUCGGCUGUUCGCCGAUUAAAGUGGCACGCGAGCUGGGUUCAGAACGUCGUGAGACAGUUCGGUCCCUAUCCAUCGUGGGCGUAGGAUAUUUGAGAGGCUCUGCCCCUAGUACGAGAGGACCGGGGUGGACGUACCUAUGGUGCAUCUGUUGUCACGCCAGUGGCACAGCAGGGUAGCGAUGUACGGAUUGGAUAAACGCUGAAAGCAUCUAAGCGUGAAACCAGCCUCAAGAUAAGAUAUCCCUAAGGAGAAAUCUGAGUAAGGCCCCUUGUAGACCACAAGGUUGAUAGGUCGGGUGUGUAAGCGCAGUAAUGCGUUGAGCUGACCGAUACUAAUAGGCCGAGGGCUUCAAUC